CGAUGCAGUGAUCGAGCUCGUACUCGCGAUGCAUCUAGAUAGCUAGAGAGUGGAUAUCUGCCCUAUGGUGGAGGAUACCCCGGGAACUGGGGAUAACACUCCAUAAGUCAGGAGUACUGGAAUGUCUCCUAACUGAAGUUGCGGCGCCAUAGGAUGAAUCUGCGGCCGAUUAGGUAGUUGUUGGGGUAACGGCCCAACAAGCCUGUAAUCGGUACGGGUUGUGGGAGCAAGAGCCCGGAGAUGGAAUCUGAGACACGAUUCCAGGCCCUACGGGGCGCAGCAGGCGCGAAAACUUUACAAUGCAGGAAACUGUGAUAAGGGAACCCCGAGUGCCCGUAAACGCGGGCUGUCCCGGUGUUUAAAACACAUCGGAUGAAAGGGCCGGGCAAGACCGGUGCCAGCCGCCGCGGUAAUACCGGCGGCUCGAGUGGUGACCACUUUUAUUGGGCUUAAAGCGUUCGUAGCUUGAUUUUUAAGUCUCUUGGGAAAUCUCACGCCCCACCCGCCCCGCGUCUAAGAGAUACUGGGAUUCUAGGGACCGGGAGAGGUAAGAGGUACUUCAGGGUAGAAGUGAAAUUCUGUAAUCCUCGAGGGACCACCGAUGGCGAAGCAUCUUACCAGAACGGCUUCGACAGUGAGAACGAUAGCUGGGAAAGCGAACGGGAUUAGAUACCCCGGUAGUCCAGCGUAAACUAUGGCGCGUUAGGGGUGCCUGUUACUACGAGUUACGGGGUGCCGAAGUGAAUACGUUGAAACGUGCCCGCCU
RNAcentral lists this ribosomal RNA (766 nucleotides) under uncultured methanogenic archaeon. Its description in RNAcentral is "bacterial SSU rRNA". It matches the Rfam family "Archaeal small subunit ribosomal RNA", at positions 49 to 829 of the family's 1478-position model. Lineage: Archaea; Methanobacteriati; Methanobacteriota. The record is from RNAcentral.